CAGAUGAAGCCGGACAGAGUGAGCGAGGGAGUGGAAAAGAGGGACUUUUAUCGUCUUGGUUUUGUAGUGGGCAGUGAUGAGUGAGGGUGAGUCAGCCGUUUGCCUGGGGAUUGGAUGGAUAGGGGCAAAGUCGAAAGCUGAUUAUGUUGGAUGGUGGGUUGAUAUUAUUAUUAUUAUUAUUGAGCACCUAUAUUAUGCUCAUUCGGGAGCAUAGUUUAUUAUGACUAAGUCCAGAGGAUUUUUUUCCAACUGAAAUUUUUGAAACUGCUUUACAAUCACUAAAGAAAAAAGUUUAUAUCGAGCCGAGGCCCUAAUCAAUCUAAUUAAAGCCUACCUCAAAAAUUUAAGUGGUUGUUUUGUUGCUCAACUUGAUCAUCUCUACAUAAAGAUGCAUGGAUAUGAGAAAAAAAUUGGAUUUUAAGUUUUAAAAAUAAUGCAUCUUGUAACACAUUUUUGAACUGUCAAUUUUCAAGAUUGUCAAGUUUUCAAAGAUCGACUCGAUCUAUAUUAUUUUUAACGCUUUAAAUUUUAUAAUUAAAGAUGAAAAUAUAUUUUAAGGCAAUCACAAAGAUUUUCAGUAUUGAAACCACAUUUCUCGACAAUAUUUGAAGUUGGGCUCUACUUUAAUCUAUGGGUUAAAUAUAAGUUAUAUCUCCAAAAUUUAGGGUUGUAGUUGGAUUUUACCUAUCAGAGUAAACAAACAGUAUGCUUCCAAGGGUAUAAAAUAUCUUUUGGUAUAUGAUUAAUAAUAGGGUGUGGUUUGUAUGUAGCCCACCUUCUUCAAAUAGUUUCUAGAAAUGUGGUUUUAAUAUUUGAAAUCUUCGUAAUCGCCUUAAAAUAUAUUUUCAUCUUUAAUUAUAAAAUUUAGAGCUUUAAAUAGUAUAGAUCGAGCAAAUCUAUAAAAACUUGAAAAUAUUGAAAAAUAGCUGUCAAAAAAUGUGUGACAAGAUGUACUAUUUUCAAAACUUGAAAUCCAUUUUUUUUUUUUUAUUUCCAUGCAUCUUGUUGUCGACAUGAUCAAAUGGAGGAUAUUUGAGCAUCUAAACAACCUUUUUUUAGUGAAAUUUUUUAGGUGCCUCUUAUUUGAUUGUUUAGAGUCUCGGUUAUGUAUCAACUUUUUUUUUCAAUUAAUAUGAUUAUGUUGAUCUGCGCAGAUUGUGACAGGACAAGGCUUCUUGGUCACUCUACGAAUUUGAGAUGAUAUGAAUUUGAGAUGAUAUGAUAGAACCCAUUUUCCUUGGCAGACUUUGGUGCUGUAAAGAGUAAAGAGCCGGUUGCGGGUUAGAAAGGAAAAGGAAGUUAUUCAAGUCUUAGAGGAGUUUGUCGGAAAGGCCCUCUUCCAAUGCCAAAGCACUUGCCAAAGAAAGACAUGUGUAAUAAAUGUUUGGUGGUGGAGAUCUAUUGGGAUUACAUGAAUGAAUGUGCCUUUGUUUUGAGCUUUACCGUACACCAAAUUUAUGUUUCUGGAAAUAUUUUAUAGCAUUAGUUUAU
This 1491-nucleotide long non-coding RNA is filed under the name Amborella trichopoda. Its description in RNAcentral is "long non-coding RNA (ATRI_LNC005069)". The record is from RNAcentral. Lineage: Eukaryota; Viridiplantae; Streptophyta; Magnoliopsida; Amborellales; Amborellaceae.